UACAGAGGUGGCAAGCGUUGUUCGGAAUUACUGGGCGUAAAGGGCGCGUAGGUGGCCUUCUUAGUCAGACGUGAAAGCCCCGGGCUUAACUCGGGAACUGCGUCUGAUACUGGAAGGCUGGAGUUCGGGAGAGGAAUGUGGAAUUCCAGGUGUAGCGGUGAAAUGCGUAGAUAUCUGGAGGAACACCGGUGGCGAAGGCGGCAUUCUGGACCGAAACUGACGCUGAGGCGCGAAAGCCAGGGGAGCAAACGGG
RNAcentral lists this ribosomal RNA (253 nucleotides) under uncultured bacterium. RNAcentral's name for it is "partial 16S ribosomal RNA". It matches the Rfam family "Bacterial small subunit ribosomal RNA", at positions 524 to 776 of the family's 1533-position model. The record is from RNAcentral.